GUUUACCUUAGAUACCAACUGGUUUAAUUAGUUUCGAUUAUAUCAACCUAACAGUUCAUGCUAGACCGCUUAGCCAAGAAUCAAGUCCAUUUGGUUCUCGUUAAAGACAUGGACUUGACCAACUACAACUAUUGUAAUUGAUCUAGAGAAUCUUUGACCUAAUCUAAGACAACAAUUGAUUAGAUUUAGUCAAUUCUCUAAUUAAGUCCAUCUUUAAUCUAACC
RNAcentral lists this long non-coding RNA (224 nucleotides) under Elaeis guineensis (African oil palm). Its description in RNAcentral is "long non-coding RNA (EGUI_LNC044803)". The record is from RNAcentral. Lineage: Eukaryota; Viridiplantae; Streptophyta; Magnoliopsida; Arecales; Arecaceae.